RNAcentral lists this ribosomal RNA (449 nucleotides) under uncultured organism. RNAcentral describes it as "partial 16S ribosomal RNA". It matches the Rfam family "Bacterial small subunit ribosomal RNA", at positions 334 to 799 of the family's 1533-position model. The record is from RNAcentral.
CACUCCUGCGGGAGGCAGCAGUGGGGAAUAUUGGACAAUGGGCGCAAGCCUGAUCCAGCCAUGCCGCGUGAGUGAUGAAGGCCCUAGGGUUGUAAAGCUCUUUCACCGGUGAAGAUAAUGACGGUAACCGGAGAAGAAGCCCCGGCUAACUUCGUGCCAGCAGCCGCGGUAAUACGAAGGGGGCUAGCGUUGUUCGGAUUUACUGGGCGUAAAGCGCACGUAGGCGGACUAUUAAGUCAGGGGUGAAAUCCCGGGGCUCAACCCCGGAACUGCCUUUGAUACUGGUAGUCUUGAGUUCGUGAGAGGUGAGUGGAAUUCCGAGUGUAGAGGUGAAAUUCGUAGAUAUUCGGAGGAACACCAGUGGCGAAGGCGGCUCACUGGCUCGAUACUGACGCUGAGGUGCGAAAGCGUGGGGAGCAAACAGGAUUAGAAACCCCAGUAGUCCCAUG